Molecule: transfer RNA, 62 nt
Filed under: Mileewa sharpa
Lineage: Eukaryota; Metazoa; Arthropoda; Insecta; Hemiptera; Cicadellidae
Description: tRNA-Phe
Source: RNAcentral
AUUUUUAUAGCUUAUAUUAGAGUAUAAUAUUGAAAAUAUUAUGGAGAUGAAUUCUAAGAAUA